Carica papaya (papaya) is the source of this 1391-nucleotide non-coding RNA. The record is from RefSeq and is a predicted model, not a curated record. Lineage: Eukaryota; Viridiplantae; Streptophyta; Magnoliopsida; Brassicales; Caricaceae.
GCUAUUGAGACUCCAACUGGAGAGCGUUACCGUUUCCUAUUGUCUGCUAAACCGCAAUCGUCGUCUCCAUGUUGCGAGCUACCUCUCGGACUUUCGGACUUCCUUGGCCCGAUCUCAACGACGGCCUGACCUACAACGACAUCGUUCGAUCCUCCGACUCCGAUUUUACGCUUAUAGAUUUCUACUCUAACAAGUACAAGAAUUCAGCUCCGUUACAGGGUUGGUUGCAGCGAAUACGAAAUGGACAGAUAGAAAUUGACGGAGAAGUUGUUACAGAUCCCUACACAAUUCUCAGUACUGGUUCGAGAUUAUCUUAUCAUAGGCUUCCUUGGAAAGAGCCUGAUGCACCACAUUUGUUAGAGGUUCUUUAUGAAGAUGAUGAUAUGAUUGCUUUGAACAAGCCAUCUGGUCUUCAAGUGUUGCCAGGGGGACUUUUUCAGCAGAGGACUGUUUUAACACAGCUCCAAUGGCUGGUAAGCAAGCACAGCUCUUUGUUGAAAAGCCAGGAAUCGCAUCCUGUCCCUGUUCAUCGCCUAGGAAGAGGCACAUCAGGGAUAUUACUCUGUGCAAAGUCAAAACUCGCAAAAACUCACCUGGCAGCUUAUUUUGCCGAUGGGACAUCACUUGUUGGAGCCACCAGUAAAAAAAACCAAGAACUUGGUAUGAGAAGAAAAAUUUCUAAGAUAUAUAGGGCACUUGUAAGUGGGAUACUUGAUGAGGAUAAGGCUAUCAUCAGGCAGCCAAUUGGUGUCAUGAGAUAUCCUGGAGUGGCAAAAGGGCUUUAUGUUGCUACUCCGUCAGGGAAACCAGCUCUUAGUAAAGUUGAUGUCCUUGAGAGAAACGUACCAGAAAACCAGACGCUGGUCCAGGUUGAGAUUCAAUCAGGGCGCCCGCACCAGAUUCGGAUUCACCUUUCUUUUAUAGGACAUCCUUUGUUGGUGAAACGCAGGCUCUUUUAUAGAAAAUCUCAAAUCUGAUUCGUGUAUUGCUUUGAUGAGUUCAGCAUGUGAAGAUUGCCUUAACCAUCAUAUGCAAACAGCAUUACAGUAAGAAAUUAGACUUCUAAGAAAUCUCCACAUUAAUUGUGUUCACAUGUUUGGCCUAAGUAGUUAUCGGGGAUUAUCUUUACAGUUGUUUCCAAUGGCCUUAGGAAGCACUAAUGUAACCAGGAUGUUGUAUAUAGAAGCUUAGAUCAACUAAUCACAGGCUGGAAAUCCCUUCAAACGAUUUGCUGUAUCUUUUGGUUCAGUGAUCCUCUCUAUGUUGUUGGUGGGCAACCCAAGUAUGUCAAUCCUGAACUUAUAGAUGAAAGCUUUGCUGAAGAUGGAGGAUAUCAAAGGCCCAUGCAACCUGUUCCUGGAGACUGCGGCUAUUACUUGCAUGCACAUCAG